GAUACAGGCGCAAUCGGAGAAAAGGUCCUUCAGGAAUCGGAUAAAGUGAGGAAGAGGAGGAUGAAGAGGAUCGCAGAACGAUCAUCUGCUUCUUUGGACACAUUGGUUGAUUAUCCCUGAUUCUCAGAGGUAUGUCGGGGUGAGCUGGUCAAGUGGACUGUUAUCUCGCAUGGCCCUGUACAAACCCGUAUGACCGUCUGCCUGCACUCUGACCCGGGGGAGCAUGAGGAUAAACAGAUGCGUGAGCCUUCAUCACUCUCCCUCCACCACCACCAUCAUCAUCAUCAUCAUUUACCUUGAAGGGGGUGAGGAGGAGGUGCGCCAGAACACAUCAGACGCUCCUCUGCGGGUGGAAAGGGAGAGAAGAGGUGACUUGCCGAUUUUCUCAGAUCAGCAGCGCUGAUGACUUCUCUCAGGGGGAGCUGACCCAAUUCGCCUGGGUGUUUAUCACCGGCACAACAAGGUCACGGCUGACAAAGCAGCGCUAGUGUGGUCUCUUUAUGCUGUGGGGUGGGAUGGGAAGGCCCAGGGCGGUUGAGGAGCUGUUUAACUGC
This is a long non-coding RNA of Sinocyclocheilus rhinocerous, 554 nucleotides long. RefSeq lists it as uncharacterized. The record is from RefSeq and is a predicted model, not a curated record. The transcript has 4 exons. NCBI's taxonomy places the organism in Eukaryota, Metazoa, Chordata, Actinopteri, Cypriniformes, Cyprinidae.